UCGGGAAUAUUGCGCAAUGGAGGAAACUCUGACGCAGUGACGCCGCGUAUAGGAUGAAGGUUUUCGGAUUGUAAACUAUUGUCAUUAGGGAAGAUAAAAGACAGUACCUAAGGAGGAAGCUCCGGCUAACUCCGUGCCAGCAGCCGCGGUAAUACGGAGGAUCCGAGCGUUAUCCGGAUUCAUUGGGUUUAAAGGGUGCGCAGGCGGGUCUGUAAGCCCGUGGUGAAAGCCUGGUGCUCAACGCCAGAGGUGCCGCGGGAACUGCAGGUCUUGAGUCGUGACGAGGGCGGCGGAAUGCGAAGUGUAGCGGUGAAAUGCUUAGAUAGUUCGCAGAACGCCGAUUGCGAAGGCAGCCG
Molecule: ribosomal RNA, 356 nt
Filed under: uncultured Acetivibrio sp.
Lineage: Bacteria; Bacillati; Bacillota; Clostridia; Acetivibrionales; Acetivibrionaceae
Description: bacterial SSU rRNA
Rfam family: Bacterial small subunit ribosomal RNA
Source: RNAcentral